CCUACGGGAGGCAGCAGUGGGGAAUAUUGGACAAUGGGGGGAACCCUGAUCCAGCCAUGCCGCGUGUGUGAAGAAGGCCCUCGGGUUGUAAAGCACUUUCAGUGAGGAAGAACGCCUGGUGGUUAAUACCCAUCAGGAAAGACAUCACUCACAGAAGAAGCACCGGCUAACUCCGUGCCAGCAGCCGCGGUAAUACGGAGGGUGCGAGCGUUAAUCGGAAUUACUGGGCGUAAAGCGCGCGUAGGUGGCUUGAUAAGCCGGUUGUGAAAGCCCCGGGCUCAACCUGGGAACGGCAUCCGGAACUGUCAAGCUAGAGUGCAGGAGAGGAAGGUAGAAUUCCCGGUGUAGCGGUGAAAUGCGUAGAGAUCGGGGGGAAUACCAGUGGCGAAGGCGGCCUUCUGGACUGACACUGACACUGAGGUGCGAAAGCGUGGGUAGCAAACAGGAUUAGAUACCCGUGUAGUC
This 465-nucleotide ribosomal RNA is filed under the name Vreelandella stevensii. RNAcentral's name for it is "partial 16S ribosomal RNA". It matches the Rfam family "Bacterial small subunit ribosomal RNA", at positions 338 to 795 of the family's 1533-position model. The record is from RNAcentral. Lineage: Bacteria; Pseudomonadati; Pseudomonadota; Gammaproteobacteria; Oceanospirillales; Halomonadaceae.